Molecule: ribosomal RNA, 255 nt
Filed under: uncultured bacterium
Lineage: Bacteria
Description: partial 16S ribosomal RNA
Rfam family: Bacterial small subunit ribosomal RNA
Source: RNAcentral
UACGUAGGCAGCAAGCGUUGUUCGGAGUUACUGGGCGUAAAGAGUGUGUAGGCGGUUUUCUAAGUUUGGUGUGAAAUCUCCCGGCUUAACUGGGAGGGUGCGCCGAAGACUGGAAGGCUUGAGUAUGGGAGAGGAAAGCGGAAUUCCUGGUGUAGCGGUGAAAUGCGCAGAUAUCAGGAGGAACACCGGUGGCGAAGGCGGGUCUCGUGGGCCGUAACUGACGCUGGAGGAGCGAAAGCGUGGGGAGCGAACAGG